Molecule: ribosomal RNA, 506 nt
Filed under: uncultured bacterium
Lineage: Bacteria
Description: partial 16S ribosomal RNA
Rfam family: Bacterial small subunit ribosomal RNA
Source: RNAcentral
AGUGAACGCUGGCGGUAGGCCUAACACAUGCAAGUCGAACGGCAGCACAGGAGAGCUUGCUCUCUGGGUGGCGAGUGGCGGACGGGUGAGGAAUACAUCGGAAUCUACUCUGUCGUGGGGGAUAACGUAGGGAAACUUACGCUAAUACCGCAUACGACCUACCGGUGAAAGCAGGGGACCUUCGGGCCUUGCGCGAUUGACUGAGCCGAUGUCGGAUUAGCUAGUUGGCGGGGUAAAGGCCCACCAAGGCGACGAUCCGUAGCUGGUCUGAGAGGAUGAUCAGCCACACUGGAACUGAGACACGGUCCAGACUCCUACGGGAGGCAGCAGUGGGAAAUAUUGGACAAUGGGCGCAAGCCUGAUCCAGCCAUACCGCGCGGGUGAAGAAGGCCUUCGGGUUGUAAAGCCCUUUUGUUGGGAAAGAAAUCCAGCUGGCUAAUACCCGGUUGGGAUGACGGUACCCAAAGAAUAAGCACCGGCUAACUUCGUGCCAGCCGCCGCGGUAA